Molecule: ribosomal RNA, 254 nt
Filed under: uncultured bacterium
Lineage: Bacteria
Description: partial 16S ribosomal RNA
Rfam family: Bacterial small subunit ribosomal RNA
Source: RNAcentral
UACGUAGGGGGCAAGCGUUGUCCGGAUUUAUUGGGCGUAAAGAGCGUGUAGGCGGCCUGACAGGUCUGCUGUGAAAACUCGAGGCUUAACCUCGAGAUGUCAUCGGAAACUAUUCGGCUAGAGUCCGGAAGAGGAGAGUGGAAUUCCUGGUGUAAGCGGUGAAAUGCGCAGAUAUCAGGAAGAACACCCAUGGCGAAAGCAGCUCUCUGGGACGGUACUGACGCUGAGACGCGAAAGCGUGGGGAGCGAACAGG